Molecule: transfer RNA, 88 nt
Filed under: Candidatus Parcubacteria bacterium
Lineage: Bacteria; Candidatus Parcubacteria
Description: tRNA-Ser
Rfam family: tRNA
About the family: Transfer RNA (tRNA) molecules are approximately 80 nucleotides in length. Their secondary structure includes four short double-helical elements and three loops (D, anti-codon, and T loops).
Source: RNAcentral
GGAGGGUUCGCAUAGUGGUCUAGUGCACACGCUUGGAAAGCGUGCGUGGGGAAACCCACCGCGAGUUCGAAUCUCGCACCCUCCGCCA